This is a long non-coding RNA of Trichosurus vulpecula (common brushtail), 1416 nucleotides long. RefSeq lists it as uncharacterized. The record is from RefSeq and is a predicted model, not a curated record. NCBI's taxonomy places the organism in Eukaryota, Metazoa, Chordata, Mammalia, Diprotodontia, Phalangeridae. The transcript has 2 exons.
GUCAUAUAUAAAAUGGAUGAUAAUGUUUGCCAUUUCAUUCUGACCACAAAAUUCCUCUGGCACCUUCCCCUAUCCCGCGAAUACAUGGAUUUACAUCUGAUAUGAAUAAAGAAGCAUAUUUAUGCUUUUGUAUAUCAGCUGUUUGGUUGCUAAAAGGGGAAGAAAAUGAACUGCUGUAUAAAGAAAAAGGAUUAAGUCAACAUGUAAAAGAUAUAAAGUAUCUUUCCUAUGUGAACAGUCUGGUUGCAGAAAGGGACGGAAAAAGAUUUUUUAUACAUAGAAAAAUGGCUAAAAUCUAUAUUUGAAGAAAGAGCUGUUCCGUUAAAAUAUGAGAACAGACAUAGGAGGACUGGCCUAAGAACUGAAGAGGACUUAUAUGAGAACAGGGAAAUGACCUGGCCUGCAGGCACACCGUCUGAAUUCCACUUCCUUGUCACCAGAGAAUGGGACUCUACCCCAGGAGCUACCCUUUGUUUUGAUAGGCCAGCAUUGGCCUUGUAUUAUUUGGUUCCAAGACUUCACUGGCACUUGAAGACAUCUCUAGCCAUGCUACUUUGCUUAGCCAUUUGCCUCUUCCCCUUUAUGUGUUGUCUUCUCUCAUUAGAAUGUAAACUCUGAGAGCAGGGACUACCUUACUUCUGUUUGUAUCCUGAGCACUUAAUAACCAUCUAUCUAUCUAUCUAUCACAUAUCUUUAGCAUCAUCCAUAGUUUGAAAGAGGUAACUCCUCUCAAAAGUGCCUGGUAGUUCUCUGUUGUCUUCCUCUGGUUUGAGAGGAAAUAGCAGAGGAGAAAGACAAGCUCUGUGUCUUUGUUAGAAGAAGCUAGCAGUAUGAUGCAGCAUCCUGUUGACUGAAGAGUUGGCUAGGCUUGUUUGUAUUUCCCAGAGAACCAAUCUGAGAAGUUUUGUAGUUUUCUGGCUUAAAGGAAUCACAAACUCGAAACAGUACUUCAGGACGCUUUCAAGGGUGAUUAUGACUUAAAAGAACUUAUUACUAUUUCAUCACUUUGAGACCAGGAAACUUGAUUUGCCCAACAACAGAACACUAACAACCAGUCAGUGAACAGUUAAGCAGAGAAGCAAGUUUGUGUGGUUCAGAUUGUUAAAGAAGGGAACAAAGACAUCAAGACCAUCAGCAAAGGUGAUAGUUUCCCUGAACAAAUGAGUUGUCAUUAUUCAUGUUUCUCCCUUCUAGACACACAAACACACACAUACUCACACAUACCCACACACAUAUAUGUUCAUUCUUCUCAACAGCUACUGUUUCCACGAAGGGAGAGUGAGAGUCAGGUUUAUGUGAGGACUGUCAUGUAUUGAUUAUUCCUACAUUUACUUUCUAUUGUGUAGCUGUGACGUAUUUGAUUAUUUUUGCUUUUGCUUUAUUGCUUAAAUAAAUGUCCUGUAUUUCAAGAGUUAA